RNAcentral lists this transfer RNA (87 nucleotides) under Desulfobulbus oligotrophicus. RNAcentral's name for it is "tRNA-Leu". It matches the Rfam family "tRNA". Rfam says of the family: Transfer RNA (tRNA) molecules are approximately 80 nucleotides in length. Their secondary structure includes four short double-helical elements and three loops (D, anti-codon, and T loops). Further hydrogen bonds mediate the characteristic L-shaped molecular structure. tRNAs have two regions of fundamental functional importance: the anti-codon, which is responsible for specific mRNA codon recognition, and the 3' end, to which the tRNAs corresponding amino acid is attached (by aminoacyl-tRNA synthetases). tRNAs cope with the degeneracy of the genetic code in two manners: having more than one tRNA (with a specific anti-codon) for a particular amino acid; and 'wobble' base-pairing, i.e. permitting non-standard base-pairing at the 3rd anti-codon position. Lineage: Bacteria; Pseudomonadati; Thermodesulfobacteriota; Desulfobulbia; Desulfobulbales; Desulfobulbaceae. The record is from RNAcentral.
GCCGAAGUGGCGGAAUUGGUAGACGCGCUAGGUUCAGGGUCUAGUUGGGGUUACCCAGUGGAAGUUCGAGUCUUCUCUUCGGCACCA